Molecule: ribosomal RNA, 433 nt
Filed under: uncultured bacterium
Lineage: Bacteria
Description: partial 16S ribosomal RNA
Rfam family: Bacterial small subunit ribosomal RNA
Source: RNAcentral
AACGAACGCUGGCGGCAUGCCUAACACAUGCCAGUCGAACGAGACCUUCGGGUCUAGUGGCGCACGGGGGCGUAACGCGGGGGAAGCUGCCCUUAGGUUCGGAAUAACUCACCGAAAGGGGUGCUAAUACCGGAUAAUGUCAUCGGACCAAAGAUCUAUUGCCAUUGGAUGGGCCCUCGUUGGUUUAGCUGGUUGGUAGGGGAAAAGCCUACCAAGGCGACGAUGCAUAGCUGGUGUGAGAGGAUGAUCAGCCACACUGGGGCUGCGACACGGCCCAGACUCGUACGGAAGGCAGCAGUAGGUAAUAUUGGACACUGGGCGAAAGCCUGAUCCAGCAAUGCCGCGUAAGUGAUGAAGGCCUUAGGGUUGUAAAGCUCUUUUACCCGGGAUGAUAAUGACGGUACCGGGAGAAUAAGCUCCGGCUAACUACGUG